GAGAAAGUGAGGAGAGAGAGAGAAGCGGGCAAUGCAGCGCUCCACUGGCUGACGGAUCCGGAUCCGCCGCCCCUCCGCCGCUAUAUGGGGGGAACAACCCUCGUGGAUGGCCUCCGUCGGAUCUUCCAGCGCCGACCCCAACGCCCUCUGAUCGCGCCCGCACCGCCCGACUCCUCCUCCUCCUCCGUCGCCGCCGUCUUCGACGACCCCGACCUCACCCCCCUCACCCGCAUCCGGGUCCCAAAGCGCUCGUGGAUGGCCGGGGUCUCACCCCAAAAAAAG
RNAcentral lists this unclassified non-coding RNA (282 nucleotides) under Hevea brasiliensis (rubber tree). The record is from RNAcentral. Lineage: Eukaryota; Viridiplantae; Streptophyta; Magnoliopsida; Malpighiales; Euphorbiaceae.